Antechinus flavipes (yellow-footed antechinus) is the source of this 416-nucleotide long non-coding RNA. RefSeq lists it as uncharacterized. NCBI's taxonomy places the organism in Eukaryota, Metazoa, Chordata, Mammalia, Dasyuromorphia, Dasyuridae. The transcript has 4 exons. The record is from RefSeq and is a predicted model, not a curated record.
UAUUUCAGGGAAGGUCCCAGGCCUGUCCACCUUCAUUCUCCUCUUGGCUAUGCUUCUGGUUUUCUAGACUUCAAUGUCACGUCUCUAUGAAAAGAAUGGCCCCAUCUUUUUUCAAUGAAUGUUAAUCAAGAUUCUCAUUGGGGAGAAUAAGAGAAGGAAGAGAUAUAGAAGGAGGUUUGAGGAAGAAUGAAAAGAUUUAGAAGAGCUGUUGUGCAUUAGGUGAAUGGGAGCAGCCCCUGGAGAGGAGAAGUCCCAACUUCCAUCCACAGCUUUUUUCAGCCCAGAACUCUCAGAAAGGGUUCCCAGCCUACCAGAAAGGUAAAACCGUGUGUGUGGAGCAGACAUCAGGAGGAGGGCGGCUGUCAACGUUGAGACAGAGGCUCUGAAUUUGGAAAAGAAACAGCAGGAGGAGGGUG